This 353-nucleotide small RNA is filed under the name Pongo abelii (Sumatran orangutan). Its description in RNAcentral is "processed transcript". The record is from RNAcentral. Lineage: Eukaryota; Metazoa; Chordata; Mammalia; Primates; Hominidae.
CAAACUCUAAAGAAACCCAAAAGUCACCAUCAGACUGCAGGCCGGAGAUACCUGAGGGAAAUCUCAGGGCUGGGACAUAGGCUCAAUUUCUGAGGCCCCAUUCUCCAGCCAUUCUGACUCUGUUUCUUAGGGGGGGAAGUCAUAGGUUAGGGAGCACCUCACACUUUCCUCAGGAGAAGACACACAACCAUGACCCUCAGCCUGGGGACCCCAACUCCAGGCCCUCCAGCCCCAAACCUGUCCAGCCAGCCCUGAAAAUGCAAGUCUUGUACGAGUUUGAAGCUAGGAACCCACGGGAACUGACUGUGGUCCAGGGAGAGGAGCUGGAGGUUCUGGACCACAGCAAGCGGUGG